GAUGAACGCUGGCGGCGUGCCUAAUACAUGCAAGUAGAACGCUGAAGCUUGGUGCUUGCACCGAGCGGAUGAGUUGCGAACGGGUGAGUAACGCGUAGGUAACCUGCCUCUUAGCGGGGGAUAACUAUUGGAAACGAUAGCUAAUACCGCAUAAAAGUCGACAUCGCAUGAUGUUGACUUGAAAGGUGCAAUUGCAUCACUAAGUGAUGGACCUGCGUUGUAUUAGCUAGUUGGUGAGGUAACGGCUCACCAAGGCGACGAUACAUAGCCGACCUGAGAGGGUGAUCGGCCAAACUGGGACUGGGACACGGCCCAGACUCCUACGGGAGGCAGCAGUAGGGAAUCUUCGGCAAUGGGGGCAACCCUGACCGGGCAACGCCGCGGGAGUGAAGAAGGGUUUCGGAUCGUAAAGCUCUGUUGUAAGAGAAGAACGAGUGUGAGAGUGGAAAGUUCACACUGUGACGGUAACUUACCAGAAAGGGACGGCUAACUACGUG
RNAcentral lists this ribosomal RNA (497 nucleotides) under uncultured bacterium. Its description in RNAcentral is "partial 16S ribosomal RNA". It matches the Rfam family "Bacterial small subunit ribosomal RNA", at positions 28 to 507 of the family's 1533-position model. The record is from RNAcentral.